Molecule: RNase P RNA, 420 nt
Filed under: Anaerolineales bacterium
Lineage: Bacteria; Bacillati; Chloroflexota; Anaerolineae; Anaerolineales
Also listed under: 1 other name
Description: RNase P RNA component class A
Rfam family: Bacterial RNase P class A
About the family: Ribonuclease P (RNase P) is a ubiquitous endoribonuclease, found in archaea, bacteria and eukarya as well as chloroplasts and mitochondria. Its best characterised activity is the generation of mature 5'-ends of tRNAs by cleaving the 5'-leader elements of precursor-tRNAs. Cellular RNase Ps are ribonucleoproteins.
Source: RNAcentral
CAGGUCGGUCGGAUGAUCGCGGCCUCGCCAGGCGCGAGGCUGAGGAAAGUCCGCACUCCACAGAGCACGGUGCCGGGUAACACCCGGGGCGGGGUAACCCGCCGGACAGGGCCACAGAAACAGGUAGCCCUCGUGCUUUCGGGCACGGGUGGUGAUAGUGAAAAGGUGGUGUAAGAGACCACCAGCACCGGUAGUAAUACCGGUGGCUAGGUAACCCCCACCGGGAGCAAGGCCAAGCAGGGGCAAAGUCCGCAUCUGCGGACGGGAAGUUGCUCGCUUCCCUUGAGCCCCGGGUAGGCCGCUAGAGCGGGUCGGUAACGGCUCGCCCAGAGAGAUGAUCAUCCCGGCCGGUGCCGUCUCUGGUACGACCAGAGAUACCCACCGGACGGACAGAAUGCGGCUUACAGACCGACCUGGGGU